Molecule: ribosomal RNA, 439 nt
Filed under: uncultured bacterium
Lineage: Bacteria
Description: partial 16S ribosomal RNA
Rfam family: Bacterial small subunit ribosomal RNA
Source: RNAcentral
CCUACGGGAGGCAGCAGUGGGGAAUAUUGCACAAUGGGGGAAACCCUGAUGCAGCGACGCCGCGUGAGUGAAGAAGUAUUUCGGUAUGUAAAGCUCUAUCAGCAGGGAAGAAAAUGACGGUACCUGAUUAAGAAGCCCCGGCUAACUACGUGCCAGCAGCCGCGGUAAUACGUAGGGGGCAAGCGUUAUCCGGAUUUAUUGGGUUUAAGGGGUUCGCAGGCGGUCUGUUAAGUCAGCGGUCAAAGCCCGGGGCUAACCCCCGGCCCGCCGUUGAAACUGGCAGUCUCGAGUUGGAGAGAAGUAUGCGGAAUGCGCGGUGUAGCGGUGAAAUGCAUAGAUAUCGCGCAGAACUCCGAUUGCGAAGGCAGCAUGCCGGCUCCACACUGACGCUGAGGCACGAAAGCGUGGGUAUCGAACAGGAUUAGAUACCCUUGUAGUC